GUAAGGGGGCAAGCGUUGUUCGGGGUUUAUUGGGCGUAAAGGGCGAGUAGGCGGUUUGAGAAGUCUGGGUGUGAAAUACCUCAGCUCAACUGAGGGUACGCGCUGGAAACUUUCAGACUAGAGUCUAGGAGGGGGAGCUGGAAUUCCUGGUGUAGGGGUGAAAUCCGUAGAUAUCAGGAAGAACACCGGUGGCGAAGGCGAGCUCCUGGCCAUAGACUGACGCUGAGGCGCGAAAGCGUGGGGAGCGAACAGGAUUAGAUACCCUGGUAGUCCACGCUGUAAACGAUGUGCACUAGGUGUUGGAGGGUAGCCUUCAGUGCCGUAGCUAACGCGAUAAGUGCACCGCCUGGGGAGUAUGCUCGCAAGGGUA
Molecule: ribosomal RNA, 370 nt
Filed under: uncultured organism
Description: partial 16S ribosomal RNA
Rfam family: Bacterial small subunit ribosomal RNA
Source: RNAcentral